This 884-nucleotide ribosomal RNA is filed under the name Arthrinium sp. RNAcentral describes it as "partial large subunit ribosomal RNA". It matches the Rfam family "Eukaryotic large subunit ribosomal RNA", at positions 33 to 944 of the family's 3401-position model. The record is from RNAcentral. Lineage: Eukaryota; Fungi; Ascomycota; Sordariomycetes; Amphisphaeriales; Apiosporaceae.
CUUAAGCAUAUCAAUAAGCGGAGGAAAAGAAACCAACAGGGAUUCCCCUAGUAACGGCGAGUGAAGCGGGAACAGCUCAAAUUUGAAAUCUGGCCUUCGGGUCCGAGUUGUAAUUUGCAGAGGAUGCUUUUGGUGCGGUGCCUUCCGAGUUCCCUGGAACGGGACGCCUUAGAGGGUGAGAGCCCCGUACGGUUGGCCACCAAGCCUUUGUAAAGCUCCUUCGACGAGUCGAGUAGUUUGGGAAUGCUGCUCAAAAUGGGAGGUAUAUUUCUUCUAAAGCUAAAUACUGGCCAGAGACCGAUAGCGCACAAGUAGAGUGAUCGAAAGAUGAAAAGCACUUUGAAAAGAGGGUUAAAUAGCACGUGAAAUUGUUGAAAGGGAAGGGUUUAUGACCAGACCUUUUCUAGGGGGAUCAUCCGGUGUUCUCACCGGUGCACUUCCCCUAGUUGAGGCCAGCAUCGGUUUCUGUAGGGGGAUAAAAGCUUCGGGAAUGUGGCUCCUUCGGGAGUGUUAUAGCCCGUUGCAUAAUACCCUUACGGGGACCGAGGUCCGCGCUUCGGCUAGGAUGCUGGCGUAAUGGUUAUUAACCACCCGUCUUGAAACACGGACCAAGGAGUCGAACAUUUGUGCGAGUGUUUGGGUGUUAAACCCUCACGCGUAAUGAAAGUGAACGGAGGUGAGAGCCCUUCGGGGUGCAUCAUCGACCGAUCCUGAUGUCUUCGGAUGGAUUUGAGUAAGAGCAUAACUGUUCGGACCCGAAAGAUGGUGAACUAUGCGUGGAUAGGGUGAAGCCAGAGGAAACUCUGGUGGAGGCUCGCAGCGGUUCUGACGUGCAAAUCGAUCGUCAAAUCUGCGCAUGGGGGCGAAAGACUAAUCGAACCAUU